UCAAGUUAUUAAGGGUGCAGGGCGGAUGCCUUGGCACUAGGAGCCGAUGAAGGACGUGAUAAGCUGCGAUAAGCUUCGGGGAGUUGCACGUAAACUUUGAUCCGAAGAUUUCCGAAUGAGGAAACUCACUUAGAGUAAUGUCUAAGUAUCAUUAAGUGAAUACAUAGCUUAAUGAGGGGAACUCAGGGAACUGAAACAUCUAAGUACCUGAAGGAAGAGAAAGAAAUUCGAUUCCGUAAGUAGCGGCGAGCGAACGCGGAUUAGCCCAAACCAAUAAAGUUUUCUUUAUUGGGGUUGCGGACAUAUCAUAACGAAGAGGUAUCGUAAUUGAAGAGGUUUGGAAAGACCCACCACAGAAGGUAAUAGUCCUGUAUGUUAAACGAGAAGACUUUAGAUAUGAUCCAGAGUACCACGGGACACGUGAAACCCUGUGGGAAGCAGGAGGGACCACCCUCCAAGGCUAAAUACUACCUAGUGACCGAUAGCGUAUAGUACCGUGAGGGAAAGGUGAAAAGAACCCCGGGAGGGGAGUGAAAUAGAACCUGAAACCCUGCACUUACAAGCUGUGGAAGCACAUUUCUUGUGUGACCGCGUACUUUUUGUAGAACGGGCCAACGAGUUACGUUAAGUAGCAAGGUUAAGCACUUAAGGUGCGGAGCCGUAGCGAAAGCGAGUUUUAACUGAGCGUUCAGUUACUUGACGUAGACCCGAAACCGGGCGACCUACCCAUGAGCAGGAUGAAGCGAAAGUAAAAUUUCGUGGAGGUCCGAACCCACGAGCGUUGAAAAGCUCGGGGAUGACUUGUGGGUAGCGGUGAAAUUCCAAUCGAGCCCGGAGAUAGCUGGUUCUCCCCGAAAUAGCUUUAGGGCUAGCCUCAAGGUGAGAGAUACGGAGGUAGAGCACUGAAUGUCCUAGGGGGUAUUGCACCUACCGAAGACUAUCAAACUCCGAAUGCCGUCAUCUUAUACUUGGGAGUCAGACUGUGGGUGAUAAGAUUCAUAGUCGAAAGGGCAACAGCCCAGAUCGUCAGCUAAGGUCCCUAAAUGUAAGUUAAGUGGUAAAGGAUGUGGGAUUGCACAGACAACCAGGAUGUUGGCUUAGAAGCAGCCACUCAUUCAAAGAGUGCGUAAUAGCUCACUGGUCGAGUGAUCCUGCGCCGAAGAUUUCCGGGGCUAAAACUUACUACCGAAGCUACGGCAUCAGUAAUGAUGGGUAGGGGAGCUUCCCAUACGGGUUGAAGCAUGACCGUAAGGACAUGUGGACAGUAUGGGAGUGAGAAUGUUGGCAUGAGUAGCGAGAUGUGGGUGAGAAUCCCACAGGCCGUAAACCCAAGGUUUCCAGGGGAAGGUUCGUCCGCCCUGGGUUAGUCGGGACCUAAGCUGAGGCCGAAAGGCGUAGGUGAUGGACAACAGGUUGAUAUUCCUGUACUACCGAUAACCGUUUGAGAGAAGGGAUGACACAGUAGGAUAAGCUAAGCACACUGUUGGUUAUGUGUGCCCAAGCAUUGAGGCAGUCAAAGUAGGCAAAUCCGCUUUGAUAAUGCUGGGAUGUGAUGGGGAGCGAAAUUUAGUAGCGAAGUAGCUGAUUUCACACUGUCAAGAAAAGUCUCUAUCGAGGUUAAAGGUACCCGUACCGCAAACCGACACAGGUGGGUGAGGAGAGUAUCCUAAGGCCAGCGAGAGAACUGUUGUUAAGGAACUCGGCAAAAUGACCCCGUAACUUAGGGAUAAGGGGUGCCACCAUCAGGUGGCCGCAGAGAAUAGGCCCAAGCGACUGUUUACCAAAAACAUAGGUUUCUGCUAAGUCGCAAGACGAUGUAUAGGAGCUGACGCCUGCCCGGUGCUGGAAGGUUAAGGGGAUCUGUUAGAGCAAUCGAAGCAGUGAACUUAAGCCCCAGUAAACGGCGGCCGUAACUAUAACGGUCCUAAGGUAGCGAAAUUCCUUGUCGGGUAAGUUCCGACCCGCACGAAAGGCGUAACGAUUUGGGCACUGUCUCAACAACAGACUCGGUGAAAUUGUAAUUCCGGUGAAGAUGCCGGAUACCUGCGACAGGACGGAAAGACCCCAUGGAGCUUUACUGUAGCUUGACAUUGGGUCUUGGUACUACAUGUACAGGAUAGGUGGGAGGCUUUGAAACCAGGACGCCAGUUUUGGCGGAGCCAUCCUUGGGAUACCACCCUUGUAGUACUGGGACUCUAACCAUAGGCCAUGAAUCUGGUCUUGGGACACUGUCAGGUGGGCAGUUUGACUGGGGCGGUCGCCUCCCAAAAGGUAACGGAGGCGCUCAAAGGUUCUCUCAGUACGGUCGGAAAUCGUACGUAGAGUGUAAAGGCAAAAGAGAGCUUGAUUGCAAGACAUACAGGUCGAGCAAGGAUGAAAAUCGGACUUAGUGAUCCGGUGGUUCUGCGUGGAAGGGCCAUCGCUCAACGGAUAAAAGCUACCCUGGGGAUAACAGGCUUAUCUCCCCCAAGAGUCCACAUCGACGGGGAGGUUUGGCACCUCGAUGUCGGCUCAUCACAUCCUGGGGCUGUAGUAGGUCCCAAGGGUUGGGCUGUUCGCCCAUUAAAGUGGUACGCGAGCUGGGUUCAGAACGUCGUGAGACAGUUCGGUCCCUAUCCGUCGCAGGCGUAGGAAAUUUGAGAAGACCUGUCCUUAGUACGAGAGGACCGGGAUGGACGUACCUCUGGUGUACCAGUUGUCCUGCCAAGGGCAUGGCUGGGUAGCUAUGUACGGAAUGGAUAAGCGCUGAAAGCAUCUAAGCGCGAAGCCAACUUCAAGAUAAGAUUUCCCACCGCAAGGGUAAGACCCAGAAAGACUAUCUGGUUGAUAGGUCGAAGGUGUAAGUGCAGCAAUGUAUUUAGCUUAUCGAUACUAAUAGGUCGAGGACUUGACCAA
This 2895-nucleotide ribosomal RNA is filed under the name Clostridioides difficile. RNAcentral's name for it is "bacterial LSU rRNA". It matches the Rfam family "Bacterial large subunit ribosomal RNA". Lineage: Bacteria; Bacillati; Bacillota; Clostridia; Peptostreptococcales; Peptostreptococcaceae. The record is from RNAcentral.